CUUGUAAAUUUGUUUGAGUUCAUUGUAGAUUCUGGAUAUUAGCCCUUUGUCAGAUGAGUAGGUUGUGAAAAUUUUCUCCCAUUCUGUAGGUUGUCUGUUCACUCUGAUGGUAGUUUCUAGAAUGAGAUCGGAGGAGCAAUGUCUGCUGUGUGGUAAUGAAUGGCUCACAAACCCAGAGGAAGACAGAGAGACAGAGACAGAAACAGAGAAAGGGAAAGAAAGACAGAGACAGAGAUUUAUUUCUUUCUUUUCAACAGGUUGAACUUAUUUUUCACUAUAUGAAGCUAUAUAUAAAAUAAGAGAAAAUUCAGAACUCUUCAAUAAAUAGCAAUAAUUUAAAAUUAUGCUGAAGUUAGAGAUGAUUAGUUGCCCAAUAAUGUUUAAUUUGAAAAAAAUCAUGAAAUUAUAUAUUCAUCCAUCUGCCAAAUGUUUUGUUAGAGUGAUAGCAAUGAAUGUGUAUUAUGAGAAAUUUUGAGAGUUCUUGUUUUAAUAUUUGAAUGUUGAUUCACUAAAAACACAUGAGCAUAUUAAUGUAAACUGUUUAAUUUUUUCUCUUCAAAUAAAAUGUCAAUUAUUUUUUUCCCUGAAUAUUUUAACCCUUUCCAGAGUUUAAGCCUUACUAGUCACUGAUUUUUAUGAAAUAAUAUCCUUACUUAAACAAAAUUAAGUUAUAUAGGAAAUUGACCAUUUUUCAAUCAAAUUAGCCCAGGCUCAUAAUUUAACAAAAAGGUGCACUUUGCAUUCUGUUUAUUGGUUAUGUAUACAGGGAAGUGAAAGAACAUGGCCAGAAAUCAUUAACAGUGGGGUGUGUGUGCACACGUGUGGGGGUCUGUGCUAAGGUUUGAGUGAGAAUAAUAACAUGAGUAUUUAGCCUCUAAUAUUAGUUAAAAAAAAAAAAAACAGGGAUACUUUUCAGUAGUUUUUUAAAAAACAAAUAUGCCACACAGACUUUAUACCCUAAGAUGAAAGUAAACUCAACUUUCAUCAAGACUUUUUGGCAAAAAAAUGUUAUAGAAGUUGAUGGAUAUUAUCAUAUGAAACAGCAGCAACUGCUUUCAGUGAAAUAAGAUGUCUGAACUAAGCCUCUUUCCUUCUCUCUUAUUCUGUUUCUUCCUUUGGCCCUAUUUUUUAUUUAACGUGGGGUAUAUAGGAAUCUACUGGGUUUUUUUUUCUUAAAAAUUGUUCUAAAAUUAAAAAGUUUAUGUAAAAGUUGCAUAAGAAAAAAGGAAAAUAAAAUUUUAAAAACAAAUAAUUAAUAUAUUAGAAAAUGUAAAGUUAAAGUUGUAAGAAAAUAACAGAAAAGUCUGGUUCUUUAUAAAAUAUAAUCAC
Molecule: long non-coding RNA, 1329 nt
Filed under: Homo sapiens (human)
Lineage: Eukaryota; Metazoa; Chordata; Mammalia; Primates; Hominidae
Description: non-protein coding lnc-PFKP-27:3
Source: RNAcentral